RNAcentral lists this ribosomal RNA (408 nucleotides) under uncultured soil bacterium. Its description in RNAcentral is "bacterial SSU rRNA". It matches the Rfam family "Bacterial small subunit ribosomal RNA", at positions 112 to 519 of the family's 1533-position model. The record is from RNAcentral.
AACACGUAUGCAACCUACCUUGUACAGGAGUAUAGCUCGGGGAAACUCGAAUUAACCCUCCAUAAUAUGUCGAUGUGGCAUCACAUUGAUAUUAAAACUACGGUGGUACAAGAUGGGCAUGCGUUUGAUUAGCUAGUUGGCGGUGUAAUGGACCACCAAGGCGAUGAUCAAUAGGGGAACUGAGAGGUUGAUCCCCCACACUGGCACUGAGAUACGGGCCAGACUCCUACGGGAGGCAGCAGUAGGGAAUAUUGGUCAAUGGAUGGAAGUCUGAACCAGCNAUGCCGCGUGCAGGAAGAAGGCCUUNUGGGUUGUAAACUGCUUUUGCCGGGGGAUAAAAAUUCUUUGCGAAGAAAAUUGAAANUACCUGGNGAAUAAGCACCGGCUAACUACGUGCCAGCAGCCGCG